GUCAACAUGCAUACAAAUGGGUUGUUACAUUGUUUUAUUAUAACUGCCCCUUAUAUUUAAGAUACAGAAUUUACACUAACCAAGCCAGGUACCUUUUCUUUCAACUGUACUUUGUUUUGCAAGAAGCCAUUUGGACUAGGCAGACAAGCUUUAGCUACAGAGUCUGCAAUGUCAUACAGUGAGCAAUAGGAGGUGCCAAGCUUGAGUUGUAAAGCCAUUUGGUGAACACAAGGCAUUGUAACUCAGAACAGUGCUGCAUAUUCUGAAACUAGAACCUUCAUCUUAGUGCAGUGAUGAGAAAGAUUUAUACUAUCGUUUGGUCCACCCAUGCUGUGUGCAAUAUAUGCAUUGAAAGACUGCUUCAACUGAAGAGUUUCUAUUAAACAGAAAGGUAAGGAAGUCAUGGUAACUUGUGUGUCCAACA
Molecule: non-coding RNA, 424 nt
Organism: Pelobates cultripes (western spadefoot toad)
Lineage: Eukaryota; Metazoa; Chordata; Amphibia; Anura; Pelobatidae
Source: the annotation of a GenBank genome assembly